AUUUCCCUGCGGUGUUCGUGAUAGGCUUUUUUAAACCCACAUUUAUUAUAAGGGAUGCUGUACUCUUACUGUGAAUUGCAGGCCUCCCGCAUUAUGCGGAAGUUGGAAGCAGCGAAGCAGUAAGGAGGCAACCCACCUGCCUUAACUGUGCAGGUUAUAAAUGAGUCUACACGGCAUUUGCGGGGGAGUG
RNAcentral lists this non-coding RNA (190 nucleotides) under Oscillospiraceae bacterium. Its description in RNAcentral is "6S RNA". It matches the Rfam family "6S / SsrS RNA". Rfam says of the family: E. coli 6S RNA was the first non coding RNA to be sequenced, but its function was unknown until recently. It consists of 184 nucleotides that fold into an extended hairpin structure with a large single-stranded internal bulge. The 6S RNA specifically associates with RNA polymerase holoenzyme containing the sigma70 specificity factor. Lineage: Bacteria; Bacillati; Bacillota; Clostridia; Eubacteriales; Oscillospiraceae. The record is from RNAcentral.